Molecule: ribosomal RNA, 379 nt
Filed under: uncultured bacterium
Lineage: Bacteria
Description: bacterial SSU rRNA
Rfam family: Bacterial small subunit ribosomal RNA
Source: RNAcentral
GACCCGCACAAGCGGUGGAGCAUGUGGUUUAAUUCGAUGCAACGCGAAAAACCUUACCUACACUUGACAUACUUCGAAUUUUCUAGAGAUAGAUUAGUGCCUUCGGGAGCGAAGAUACAGGUGCUGCAUGGCUGUCGUCAGCUCGUGUCGUGAGAUGUUGGGUUAAGUCCUAUAACGAGCGCAACCCUUACCCUUAUUUGCCAGCGGUUAGGCCGGGAACUAUAAGGGAACUGCCGGUAAUAAGCCGGAGGAAGGUGGGGACGACGUCAAGUCAUCAUGGCCCUUACGUGUAGGGCUACACACGUGCUACAAUGGGAGAUACAGACGGUUGCUAAAGCGCGAGCUGGAGCCAAUCCGACAAAGUCUCUCGUAGUCCGAA